UCUGGAAAAGUAAGAAUGGUUGUACUGAGAUGAAUUACGACUGGAAAAAUUUGGGGGGUUUACCCACUAAUUCAAGGACUUGAGUUAACAGGCAGUGAGGAAAGCAAUGAAUGCUGCUGUGACACUCUUCCUUUUUAUAUGAAUAAGUGUUUUUUGAAGCUAAUACACUGUAUUUAAUUCCAGAUAUUCUGUUUCAACUUGAUAUUUAAUAAGCUUUGUAAUCUA
This is a long non-coding RNA of Harpia harpyja (harpy eagle), 225 nucleotides long. RefSeq lists it as uncharacterized. The transcript has 2 exons. The record is from RefSeq and is a predicted model, not a curated record. NCBI's taxonomy places the organism in Eukaryota, Metazoa, Chordata, Aves, Accipitriformes, Accipitridae.